GAGGGUAUAGCUCAGUGGUAGAGCAUGUGCUUAGCAUGCAUGAGGUCCUGGGUUCAAUCCCUAGUACCUCCA
RNAcentral lists this transfer RNA (72 nucleotides) under Camelus bactrianus (Bactrian camel). It matches the Rfam family "tRNA". Rfam says of the family: Transfer RNA (tRNA) molecules are approximately 80 nucleotides in length. The record is from Rfam by way of RNAcentral. RNAcentral also lists the same sequence under 2 other names. Lineage: Eukaryota; Metazoa; Chordata; Mammalia; Artiodactyla; Camelidae.